CUUUCCUUUCCUGGUUCUACAGUCUUUCAGUCUAAAGAGAACAGCAAUUAAUUAAUUGGAAGUGAAAAACGGACGAGGUGAUGACGGCCGCGGAUGCGACGACGUCGUAUUCACCGUCGACGACUGCAACGAUCCCGUCGAACCUCCCUCUCAUCUCUGCGUUCCUCGCCUGCGCUCUCGCUCAGUUCCUCAAGCUCUUCACCUCCUGGUACAAAGAAAGGAAAUGGGAUUCGAAGCGAAUGCUCGAUUCCGGCGGAAUGCCGUCGUCGCAUUCGGCCACGGUGACGGCUCUGGCGGUCGCCAUUGGCCUUCAAGAUGGCGCCGGAGGACCCGCUUUCGCCAUUGCUCUGGUCUUAGCAUGCAUUGUGAUGUAUGAUGCCUCCGGAGUGAGACUUCAUGCUGGUCGUCAAGCCGAGUUGCUGAACCAAAUUGUGUACGAGCUUCCUCCGGAGCAUCCUUUGUCCAGUGUUAGACCUCUGCGCGAUUCACUUGGACAUACUCCCUUGCAGUUAGCAAAUGCAAUACUCUUACUCUGUCAUGCUGGCUCCACUGGACAAAGCUAGAAUGUUAUUCAUCGACCAUUGUUACUAUGGAUCGACCACUUCAUUGUUAUCAUCAUGAAGUAAUUACAAGGUUUAGCUUCAGAGAAAUACAGGUUGUUGCUGGUGCCGUGCUGGGAUGCAUAGUGGCAUAUCUAAUGAGGAACACCAAAUAAGAUAUCUUAUGACUGAUACUUGAUUCUUUGAGCUUCAUACUGAUUAGCUAUUGACUGGAGGCCGUAGUUUUGGCAAGGGCAAGGGCAAGGGCAGAGAAAGAGCUGAUGUAGGAUGAGUUCCUAAUUGUUGAAAGCAUGUAAAGGCAUUUACAGAAUAGGGGCCUCCACCUAGAUGCUGGGGUGGGGGACUAUAUUUUUAUGACGGAUUUGAACAUUGUUGUUGUGUAUACAGAAGUUACCUUCACUAAAUAAAAGACACCCCUUUGUGAAACUCUUGAUGUUCCAGAUUGUUUUCUUCUCUUUACUGGCGUUUACUGUCAGUUUUUCUGUAA
Prunus avium (sweet cherry) is the source of this 1047-nucleotide RNA transcript. RefSeq lists it as uncharacterized. The record is from RefSeq and is a predicted model, not a curated record. Lineage: Eukaryota; Viridiplantae; Streptophyta; Magnoliopsida; Rosales; Rosaceae.